AAUCUUGCGCAAUGGGCGAAAGCCUGACGCAGCCAUGCCGCGUGAAUGAUGAAGGUCUUAGGAUUGUAAAAUUCUUUCACCGGGGACGAUAAUGACGGUACCCGGAGAAGAAGCUCCGGCUAACUUCGUGCCAGCAGCCGCGGUAAUACGAAGGGGGCUAGCGUUGCUCGGAAUUACUGGGCGUAAAGGGAGCGUAGGCGGACAGUUUAGUCAGAGGUGAAAGCCCAGGGCUCAACCUUGGAAUUGCCUUUGAUACUGGCUGUCUUGAGUACGGGAGAGGUGUGUGGAACUCCGAGUGUAGAGGUGAAAUUCGUAGAUAUUCGCAAGAACACCAGUGGCGAAGGCGGCUCACUGGCCCGAUACUGACGCUGAGGUGCGAAAGCGUGGGGAGCAAAC
Molecule: ribosomal RNA, 396 nt
Filed under: uncultured bacterium
Lineage: Bacteria
Description: bacterial SSU rRNA
Rfam family: Bacterial small subunit ribosomal RNA
Source: RNAcentral